GAAUAUUGGACAAUGGGCGAAAGCCUGAUCCAGCCAUGCCGCGUGUGUGAAGAAGUUCUUCGGAUUGUAAAGCACUUUACGUUAGGAGGAAGGGCAGUAAGCGAAUACCUUGCUGUUUUGACGUUACCGACCGGAUAAGCAGCGGCUAACUAUGUGCCAGCACGCGCGGUAAUAAAGAGGGUGCAAGCGUUAAUCGGAAUUACUGGGCGUAAAGCGCGCGUAGGUGGUUCGUUAAGUUGGAUGUGAAAUCCCCGGGCUCAACCUGGGAACUGCAUCCAAAACGGGCGAGCUAGAGUAGGGCAGAGGGUGGUGGAAUUUCCUGUGUAGCGGUGAAAUGCGUAGAUAUAGGAAGGAACACCAGUGGCGAAGGCGACCACCUGGGCUCAUACUGACACUGAGGUGCGAAAGCGUGGGGAGCAAACA
RNAcentral lists this ribosomal RNA (423 nucleotides) under uncultured bacterium. RNAcentral's name for it is "partial 16S ribosomal RNA". It matches the Rfam family "Bacterial small subunit ribosomal RNA", at positions 359 to 774 of the family's 1533-position model. The record is from RNAcentral.